This 12035-nucleotide long non-coding RNA is filed under the name Capsicum annuum. RNAcentral describes it as "long non-coding RNA (CANN_LNC010998)". The record is from RNAcentral. Lineage: Eukaryota; Viridiplantae; Streptophyta; Magnoliopsida; Solanales; Solanaceae.
UCUUUUUAGGGUAAUCCCAACCAUCUCCUUAUUUUUUUCUCUUUUUUCUCUCCUCUUUUGUAUGAGGAUUCAGAUCUCAUCACCAAACAAAUCUAUAAACUUUCUCCUCUUUCUACACAAAUAUUUGUCGUCCACCUCCUUUUAUUUUUUUGAUCCCUUUGUUUUUGACAUGACAGGUAUGGUAUACUUUGCUUUUCUGGGGGUCUCUACUAUUCUUGCCUUCUUGUUUUUUUGUUUGCUUGUUUCAUGAAAUUUUUUAUAUCUUCUUUGAUGAAAAUUGUGUAUAUCAUAAUCUUACAUUAGUUGUUUACAUCUGUUAUUUUUAUUUAUUUAGUCAUUACCCAUAUCAUAUUUAUUUAUGGACUAUUUUUUAUUAAAUAAUUAAAAAAAGUCAUGACCCUUGAGUUCUUCCAACAAAUGGUUCAUUUGUUGCAGCAGAUUGGUCAUCCCUUGGAAAAACUAAAAACCUGGAUUGAGUUCUACCAACAGAUGACUCAUCUCUUACAACAGAUGAGUCAUCUGUUGGGAGAGCUUAAGAAGCUUGGAACUAUUGGUGAUGUUUGUUUAUUUUGUUUGUUAUUGGUUUUGUUACUUGUUUUUAUUUUGUUAAUGUUCUUGUCAAUGCUGUUGGUGUUAUUUGUAUUUUUGGUGUUGGCAGUAGUGGUAUUGGUGGUGUUGGUAUUGCAACAGUUGGAACAUAUAAUAGAAGAUAUUAAAAUAGGUUUUCCAAUAGAUUCUCCAUCUGUUGCAACUGAUGAAUUAGCUAUUGGAAUAAAUUAAAAUAGCUCUUCCAACAGAUGACCCAUCUGUUGCAAAAAAUGGAUCACCUGUUGGAAGAAAACAAACUAGUAACAAUAGUAUCUUGAUUUCUUCCAACAAAUGACUUAUCUGUUGCAACAUGUUGGUCAUCUGUUGUAAUAGAUAGGUCAUCUGUUGGAAUUCUUAUUGUAAUGUAUUGUAUUAUUGAAUUUUGUAUCACUAUUUUUUUAAAAUUAUUCAGACAUCAAUUGUAAUAUUUUUUUUUAUUUCUCUCUUAUUCAUAGAUAAAAGAUAUAUUCCAAAAGAAAAGGAAGUGAAAGUGGAUCAACUUUUGCCCAACCAACAUAAAAGGCUAGAGUAAAGAAAGGUUUGGAGGAAUAAGCUUCUUGCAGAUAGAACCACUUCAUAUGUGGGAGGUAUGUAUUACUGAUCAUAUUAUCGUGAAAAAACACAUAAAGUACAAUGACUUUGUGAAUGUUGUUUUUUACCAAUUAGGCAUUGAUCAUUCAAACAAGAUAUUGCAUUUUAUAGUUAAGUUUGAUAGGUCCAAACUGAUAAGGCUGAGGGAUCUAGAAGGUUGUCCCGAUACCUUUUUAUAAUUUCAUGAUAGUUUUGCUCAUGUUUAUAUAUCAAGUUCGGAGAAGGGGUCAAUUUUUGGUGGCAGUGUAGAGAUUCAAUAGUGAUUGGACUUAUUUUAAGGGUUCAACAGACUUUUGAAAGGCCUCCAAAGCCUCUCACUGCUACAAACAAGAAUGGAAAUCCCAUAGAAAUUUCUCUAGUCCAAAUUUAUACGAAUGGUUUCUCAAGGUGAUGAUUAUACAGUAAAAGAUGCUUGGGAGAAUAUCUGCGAGAGAAGGGGGAGUUGUUGAAGACUAUCUCAACUCAGACCUUACUAAACAAAAUAAACACAAGGUAGCAAGGAAAUUGUAGCGAAUUUGGCCGAUGAAGUUGACACGAAAAAUGAGAAAACUGAAUGAUUUGCAAAAAUAAAAAUCCAUCACUUGUUAUUGAAAAGAAAAAUGGUACAGUGAACUGGAGAUGUGCACUUUGCCAGGAACUGUGAUUAGUUAGUGUGGUCUGAAUGAUCACCUCCAAAGAAAGAAACACAAGCCCAAGGAAGCCGCUUUUAGAGCACCGAUGGAUGGAAAGAUGUACAUUCAAGAAUGAUACUUGCGCCAAGAACUGCUGAAGUUAAAAUAAGGGAUCAAGCCAAGGUGGCAAUUUCUGAAGUUAAACUUGCAUCCUAUGCCUUCUGUUUGUGGUUCUGGUAACUUCAAUCACAGUGGAAUGAAAAAGGCAUGGAAUUUCUUCUCAACUUGCAUCCUACUUACUCACCUGUUGCAACAGAUAAAUCAUCUGUUUGAAUCAACUUUAGGUUCUGUUGACAUAGGUGAGUCAUCUGUUGCAAAAGGUGAGUCAUUUGUUGAAUAGAUGACCCAUCUAUUGGAUUCAUGUUACAACACUAUAUAACCUUUAACAUAAAUCCGACAAAUGUGUUAUCUAUUUAACAUAUGACUAACUUGUGGCAACAGAUGACUCAUUUAUUGGAUUCAUGUUCAGGUCCUAUUUAUUGUUGAAAAAUAAAAGUAGCAGUGUACCUAGAUGAGAAAUUCAACUAAAAAUCAUAAUUUAACUUAGCAAAAUCACCUAUGAAGUAAUGCCCAAGUGAUAUAUGAACAAAAUUAGCAGCAGUAGCGGUAACAACAACAACGAUCAACAAGAAGAAGAUGAUAAUGAUGAUGAUGAACAAAGAUCACUAAAAAGGCUGUAAAAAGGUCUCUUUCUCUAAAAAAGAGACUUCAAAAGCGACCUCAACGGAUGGUCUCUAAAACAUAGGUCGCUUUUUGUAAGAGACCUCAUGAGGUCGUUUGAAAGCAACCUCACGAGGUCACUAGGUUAUUUUUUGAACUUUCUAAAAAAGACCUCAUGAGAUUGCUAAACUAAUUUUUUUAUAAUUAUUAUUAUUUUAUUCAAGGAGACCUCAUAAGGUCUCCAUUUGAUUUUAUUUUUUUAUUUUUAAAAUUAAAAGACACUUCAUCAGGUGACUAUUAUUUCUUUAUUUUUUUAUCAUAAACAUUUAUUUAAAACAUAAGCGACCUCUUACAGUCCCUUAUUUGAGUGCCUAGAAAAUGACAUUGUGAAAAAGAAACCUCCUGAGGUCGCUUUUGUUCAUUUCCACGAAAACAAAAAUACAAAAUAUUGACUUCAUGAGGUCUUUUUUAUGCGAAAAAAAUUAAUGGCAAUAAAAGCUUUUACAAAUACCUGCCAUUUUAAUUCAAUUCAAUAGUAUAUACAAUCUAAUCAACUUAAUCGAACUCCAAGAGCUCUCAACAAUCAAUCAAACUACAACGCACACACGUACUAAUACAAUGAACACUAAAUGAAAAUCAACUUUAAAGUACCUUGAAAUUGAACGAAAGAACAUCGUUAAGAGUACAGAAUAGACAUACACAAGAUACUAGUAGGUCCACAUUCUUUAUCGUCUUCAGAGCUUCAGGAUCCAUACAGAUUGCCAUAUUUAUACACUUCAAAAUCGAUACAGUAGCAACAUUAAAUAAGACAACAAAAAGACAAAAUGAUGGCACACGACCACUUCAAGGAAAGAUGAGAUAUUGUAACAAAGACUUUACAUGGAUGAUAGUUAUUCUUCUAUUUUUAGCAUGCUGCAUUUUCACCAACUUCCAAGAUUUAAGCAAACUUUAAUGAAUCUUUAACAAAACUAAUUUAGUGUAGGAAAGAACUAGAAAUUUAUGAUUAUUUAAACUAGUGUAGGAUCUGUAGAAAAAAUAUUAAGCUUGUGUAGGAUAGAAACAAGAAUUUUCCUUAAGCAACCUAUUUUCUUUACAUCCUAGCAAUAUGAGUCCACUGAUUUCUUCUCUCUUGAGUUGUUUUUGAAAUCCUCUACUACAUUGAUUAUACAACUUUUCUGGCACUCUGAUUUUCAUGUGAUUUGUUGCUUCUAGAACUGCUGGUCUACCUCAGUAUGGCUACCUUGGUCAUGCUACUGACAAUGAGGUACACUUAAAGAAAAAGUUUCAGUUAAUUUUUAAAUAUUUUGUGACAAGGACAAAGACUUCCAAUAUUUUCAUGUUAUGUUCGGAAGUUCGAGACUUCACCAAUUGUAUAACAAUCUCAAAUUACAAUGUUUCCUAGCAGACAAUGAUAUGUCAUGGCAAGAUCAUCCGUUCAAUUUAAUUGAUAAUGAUGCAACUUAUUGGUGAUACUACUUCUGCAUAAAUUGAAAUAAAAAUUAACAUGAAAUUAGAUGAGUAGUUGUUAUCUUCCCUAAAUUAUCUUGUAUUAUGUUUAAUGCCUUUUUGCCUAUUGAAAUGUAAUGAGCUCUUUAUUUUAUUUUUUGCUAACAGGGUGGAAUUCUUAACCACAUUACGACUACUUUCUAAAUACUGAAAUGUUUCUCACCUUUCUACAACAUGUAGUUGAUAAGUUUUGUGGAAAGCACAUUUUCCAUGAAAUAAUCAGUGUUUUUCUAUUUCUAAAAAAAUCAGUGUUCUUAUCUUUCAUAUUGGAGUCCUUUACUCUGCAUAUCACUCUAUCAUUUCAUAAUGAUCUAAGGUCUAAUAUUUCUCCAAAUUAAGUAGAGAAACCUAGACUUAAAUGCAGCAAAUCGGAAAGACCAUAUCCAAUCUUUUCUCCUUUUAUGACAAGACCCUUGAUGUUUAAAUUUGAAACUUAUUGUAAUAAAGGCAUUCACACAGUAGCAUCUUUAUAUUUGAACUGGGAGUUGUUGCUUUCUUUGUUUGAUUUAGGGAAGCUCUGUAACAUGCAUUAUAAUACCAAAGAUAGCUCUGUAAGACUAACUUAUGAAUCUCAACCCUGACCUAGACCUAUAGCCUCCUAUUCUGGAGAAACUAUAAUCAAAGUAGCCUGUGGAACAAAUCACAUGGUUUCAUCUUAACUUCAUUUUAAUAAAUAUUGUCCUCUUUCAGAUUUGUUAAGUGCAGUAACCUUCUUUUUUCUAGUUUUCAGUUGCCGUGGAUAAGAAUGGAUAUAUUUACACGUAAGUUUUAGUAGGAAACCAGAAUUCUACAUAUAACCAUCAAGCAUGUAAAUCCAUAUUACUAGUUCUAAAUACUUGCACCAAUAACUAAGGGAAAAAAGAUGGUUGGAACAAGUUGUAUUCUUACUCAUGUCAUUGCUUGUCAUUGCCCUAAUAUGUGUUUUCUCCGCAAGCUUAAUCAGGAUAAUAUACAUGUACCAUAGACCAUACAAUAUUCACCAGGAGAAUACAAGUCCAAUUCAAAAACCAAUAUCAGGAAUUGAAAAGUAGCAGUAACAAUAAAAAGAAGAGUAUAACAAAGAAAAGAAGAGUAUGGGAAUGAUCAAUAAGAACAACAAAAAACCAUAUACACAGUUCUGAUAAUUAAUAAAACGCCCAACUACUCAAAAAAUCGCAUAAAACCUCUAACUAUUCGAUCGAAAAGCAUAGAUUCACAAUUUGAAAUACAGUUUUGAAAAAAGAACAAGAAAGACGAAAAGCAUAGGAACGCAGUUUAAAGACAAAGACAACAAAACCAUCAACUAUUCAUUACAAUCUUCAUAUUUUGGGAAAAUUAAAGGAGACCCAAGAGAUUCAUAAAUUCACAUAAAUAAGAAAAAAACAAUGCUUACAGCCUUACUUGGACUGAAAUAGCUGACCUUACUUUGUGAGACAGAGCUUGAAUUUGAGAGAGGGAGGCUCCAAUUUGAGAGAGGGGUUUUGAGAAAGAGAGUCGAUUUGAGAAUGGAAGCUAGCCUCUUUAGUUUUUCUUUUAAACUAUAAUAAUAAAUAUUUAAAAAAUAAAUGUUUUGCUUCAGACUUCAUAAAUUAGUGAUAGAUAAUUAUUCUUAAUAAUAAAUUUAAUUAUUAAAAUAAUAGAGACCUCACAAGGUCCCAAUAUUUAAAAUUUUAAAAAUAAUUUUAAUUAUUUUGACACUAAUUUUUUCGCAUUUUAUUUUCGACCUAUUGAAGUCUUUAUUAUUAUGGCAUUGAUUUUUUAUUAGCAUUUAUCGACUUCAUGAGAUCUCUUUAUUUUAAAAUAAAUUUAAAAAAUCAAUUAAGGGAAUAAGCGACCUCAUCAAGUCUCUUAUUUUAGGUCUCUUUUUAUAACUUUUUUAGUAGUGUUAAAGAAGAGAUGAUAAUGAUAAUGAAAAAGAAGAUGAUGAAUAACGUAAGCAAAGCAGCAGCAAGAAGCAAUGAACAACAAUAAAGCGAAGAGAGAGAAAAUAACAAUAAAUGCGAAGAGAGAGACACGCCGCAUUUUUUUCCUCCUUUUCUAGUUAUAUUAGGGUAAAUUGGAUCAAAGUGUAAAUUAAAAAGUUUGAAGGCUAUUCUCAACUUUCUUAAUCCGUAAUCAAAUAGUUAUCACCUACACAAAAUUAUUAAAACUUAGUCACCUACACCUCAUUUUCAAACUUUUUUAUCGCAUUUAACUGAAAACCCUGAGUUUGCUUGAUGUGAAUUUAAUAUUAUUGGGGAACAACGGUAAAACACCAAUAACAAUAUAAUUAAACUAUUAACAAAAUAAUAAUAUAACAAUAAUAAUAUUAGCAGUAUAAUAACAUAAUAGUGUAUACUAAUAUUAAUACUUCAAUAAUAAUAUUAUCUUCAAUAUAAUAACUAUAACAGUAGUAUAAUUACUUCUUAACAAGUUAAUAAUACUAAAUAUUAAAAAAAUACUAUAAUGAUAUGAUUUUAAGUAAUAUAUUAAUUAUACUUGAGUCGUGUUGGACACUGUCCUAAGAAAAUAUGUCAGCAGUGUGAAAUAUUUUUCCAAAAUCAAACAAGCACUUCCUUUAUUAAUUAGAGGAUAUUCUGAGUUAAAUAAAUCUUACCUAAUUAACCAGAGGAUACAGGAAUCAACAAAAUUAUAAUGCAAAUAUCAGCAAGUUAAACUAGAGGUUUACUAAAUAAUAACCAAAAUCACUAAGGAAUAUAAUAUAAAGAGGGAAGAGGAAAAUGUCGAAAAGGAAGGAGAUUGAAACACGAAUGUUAAGGUUUUUUCUUUCUUGGUGUCAUUGCAGAAUAAGAAUGAGUUCCUUUUUAUAGAUUUAAGGGAGGUCUUUUCUGUUGACAAGUGUCAAGUUAAGUGGCAUAAAUUGUGGCUUACAAGCUGCCACCACACAAGCUUCCCAAGCACACCUCUUGAUCGCUUCCAAAAUAAGCAUUUUAAGUGAUUUCUAAAAUACAUUUUAUAGACAUGACUUUUUCAAUACAUUUCAAGAGAAAAUUAUUUUGAAAUAAAUAAAUAUUUUUCCUACAAUCCCCACAUUAUUUCAAUAAUUUAUAGAAAAAAGAGUUUUAACUUGUUGUAUUUGCAUGGACAAAAUGCAGUGGGUUUGGUGUCUUCUAGAUUAUGAACCAAACUUAGACCAAUAAAAUUUAACUUACAGAAUUAUCGGUGAAAUAUAAUAUUUCUAUGAACCGAAUAAUUUUAUUGUAAGCCAGAGAUUUUAUCAAUCACUUUUUUACCAUAAUUGUUCAACGCAGUUUUGCGCCAAUUGGUCAUGCAUGUGCCUGGUAUUCAUGAGAGCUCUAGUGACUAAGGCCAAAAGUCUCAUAGGAACGGCCUCAUUCUACUUCUCAUAUAAGUGAAUUCAUGAUGUGUACAUUGCUUUAAAUACACCAUCCAUAAGGACUAUAAAUUCGUUAAGAGUUUGUAGCUCAUCCCUUAAUUUUAGUAGUAGUUCUAGUACUCUCAGUUAAUGCACAGAGUCAAUAUCGACUUGUUAUUACAUAUAUGAACCUACUUCAUUGGAUCUCCAAUCACAUAGGUUGGGUUCUCAUCUCUAUUGACAAUCAUAUUGGCAUUAACCUCAUCUCUUUUGAGGCUUGAAGAAUUAAUUUUCUUCCCACAGGUUUAGUCAGUGAAUCGGCUGAAUUUAAUUCUGACUUCAUAUAAUUAAUGAAAAUUAUUCCAUUUUUCAGCAGUUGUUUAAUAACAUCAUGCCUCAAUUUCAUUUGUCUACCCUUACAAUUGUAAGAUUUAUUCUUCGCAGUAGAAAUUGGGGCUUGAAAAUCACAGUGUAUAUACAUAGGAGGCACCAGAUCAUUCUUUUUAAAAAGGAUAUUUGCUAAGAAAUUUCUUAGUCAUUCAGCCUCAGUACUAGCUAACUUCAAAGUAACAAACUCUGAUUUUAUAGUUGAUCUAGCAAUGAUCGUCUGCUUAGUUGAUCUCCAUGAUACUGUGCCACUACCAAGGGUGAAAACAUACCCGCUAGUGCAUUUUGUAUCAUCUGAAUUAGAGAUUCAGUUUGCAUCACAAUACCCUUCUGAAGUAGAAGGAAAUCCACUAUAAAAAAUACCAUAAUUCACAUCCUCUCAAAUAUUUCAUCAAUCGCAUUAAUGCAAAACAAUUCUCAUUAUUUUGAUUAUGAGUAUAUGUACUCAAUCUGCACAAAGCAUAGGCUAUAUCAUGCCUAGUAAAAUUCAUUAAAUGCAUUAGACUCCCAAUGAUCUGUGCAUACUUAGACUGAGCAAUUGGGUCACCAUUAUUCUUUUUUAAUUUAGAAUUAGCAUCAUAAGGAGUGGCUACAGGAGUUAUCUUCCAACAUUCAAACUUCUUAAGAAGUCUUUCCACAUAAUGUUCUUGUGACAACAUUAUACCAUCUUCACUCCUUAUAACUUUAAUUUCCAAUAUCAUAUUAACUUCACCCAAAUCUUUCAUAUCAAAGUUAGUAGACAAAAAUAGUUUGGUACGUUCUAUAAUAUUAAAACAUAUACCAAAUAUAAGCAUGUCAUCAACAUAUAAGCAAAUUAUUACAUAAUCACUAUCUACUAAUUUUGUAUAAACAUAUUUAUUCACCUCAAUAGAAGAAAAACCAUCUUUUAUUAAGACUUGAUCAAAUUUCUCAUGCCACUGUUUCGGAGCUUGUUUAAGGCAAUAAAGAGAUUUAAUUAAUUUACAAACUUUAUUUUUUUGUUCAGAAAUUACACAUAUUUCUGGUUGAGCCAUAUAAAUUUUUUCUUCUAAAUCUCCAUAUAAGAAAGCUGUUUUUAUAUCCAUUUGAUGGAUAAAAAGCUUAUGAAUUAAUGCCAAAGCAAUUAAUAUUCGAAUAUAAGAAAUUCUUUUUACUGGUACAAAUGUAUCAAAAUAAUCAAUAUUUUUCUUUUUGAGAAAAUUCUUUAGCUACUAACUGAGCUUUAUAUUUAUCUAUAGAUCCAUCCAGAUUAAGUUUCUUUUUGAAAAAUCAUUUACAACUAAUCGGUUUUGCACCAGGAGGUAAAUCGGUUAAAACCCAUGUAUUAUUUAUCACAAUUAAAUCAAGUUUAAUUUUUAUUGCCUCUUUUCAAAAUUUAGCAUCAGAAGAAGAUACAACUUCAAAAUAAUUUGAUGUUUCAUUAUCAACAAGAAAAGUUUGAAAAUCAUUUCCAUAAGAAAAUAUUCUUUUCUAGGCCUUUUACUCCUUCUUAGUUCCUCAAUAUUAGAGGUCAAUUCAUUUUCUCUUUCAACAGGUGCAUGAGAGAUUUUAUUAAAUAGUGAAAAAAUACAUUCAAAGAAUUCAAAAUUCUUUGUCUCGAUUAAAGUAUUACUAUCAAGUACAUCACUUUUCAAUACAAGAAAUCUAUAUGCAACACUACGUUCAACAUAUCCAAUAAGCAUGCAAACAUUAGUUUUAGAAUCUAUUUUCCUUUUUUUAGGUUCAGAAAGAAGAAUUUUAGAAAUGCAACCCCACACUUUUAAAUAUUUCAAAUUAGGUUUAUAAUCUUUCCAUAAUUCAUAAGGAGUUUUUCCAUUUUUUAUGAGGAAUUUUUUUUUAUAAAUAACAUGCAGAUAAAAUAGCUUCAACCCACAAAUUAUCAAGUGCAUUAGAAUUAAUUAACAUAGAGUUCAUUAUUUCUUUCAAUGUCCUAUUUUAUAUUUUAGAUACACCAUUAGACUCAGGUGAAUAAGGCGGAUAUACUUCAUGAAUAAUUUCUUCUUUUUCACAAAAAGCAUUUAAAGAUACAUAUUUGUAAUACCCCGUAUUUUCGUGCUAGAAUUCUAACCGUCGUUCCUACACGUCUAAGCUCUAAUCCAAGUGGUUCUCAUAUGAAUAUAAGUUUCAUGAGACUUAUCCUCAUGUUUGAAUUGAUUUUGAGGUGAAAAAUGUUCAUAGAAAUCAUUUAGAGCCAAGUUGAGCUAAGAUCCUUUGAUUCGUCCAAAAAUUUGAUAUUCGAUUCUACAAUGGUCUACUUUAAAUAUGUAUAACUUUUUAUAUAAAUGGAAAUUUUCAUCUCAAGACCCACCAAAUUGUAGAUAAUUGAAUUAACUUGCCAAUGAUACCAAUUUCGCCAAAAUCCGAUACAUAAACGAAAAGUUACAACCAUUUUAGUGAAGAGACAGUAAGCCGAGGCGAUAUGUCUACGGCGCCCUACCUAUUCCGACUAGAGUAAUUUUCCACAAUCAAGAUCCGCAUCUAAGAGGGGUAUUUGGAUUAUUUUCCACCUUUAAAUAGCACCCAAAAUAUGAAAUUCAGCCCCCAAUAACCAAAAUAUACUCACUUUCUCUCAAAUUCUCUCAAGAACAAACCUUAGGGUUUUAACCCAAGGUUCAAGAAUCCUCAAGAUUCCACUGUUUUUUGUAUUGAUUCAAGAUUCAAGAUUCCCAAACCAAGAGUUUCAAGAGACUACAUUCAAGAACGCAAUAGAGUCUCAAAAAGGAAGUUGUUCAUCUAAGUUCAUUGUCCAAGGUAUGUGAGAUUUGAACAAGAAUAAUUCUUUCAUUCAUAUGCCCAAAGAUUUGAAUUUUAUUAAACAUUUCAUGAUUUGCAAGUUGGGGUUUAUACCUAAAUCAUCUUGAUUUGAGUUUAUGAAUUUAUAAGUGUAAGCCUUGAAUUGCAUGUUUAUUUCACAUAUUUUAUGUUUUAAAUUGAGGAUUUAUACCAUGAAUUGUACAUCCCUAUAGUGAAUUGAUAUUUUCAAGUGUUCCCAAGAUAGUUGUCAAGAAUUAAGCUUCAUUAUGGAAUUGUGAUCAUUUCAGUAUAUAUAUGCUUUAAAUCCAUGUAAGAAUUUUUAUAUCUCGUGAAAAGUAUAUUAUUAGUAUGUUUUUAACAAGAAAGCAUUCAAAUUUUAAAGAAAGGUUGAUCUUUGAUCCUAAGCUAAGAUAGGAAUCCACAUUAUUUAUGAUUUAAAGCAAAGAGAAGCAUAAUUGGUCUUUACUAUACAUCCUUGUACUAUUUUAAGGUGGAUUUUCUAAAAGUUUUGAGCAUAAGUAUGGAAGUAGUAUUUAGCACCAAGUUGGGUAUGAUUCCAAGGUCUCAUACUCCAGAACUACAAGCCACCGUAGGUUUAUGAUUUUCCCAUAGUGGGAUAAGAUAGUGAUAACUUAAGUUAAGGUUCUAUUCUGAUGGCAAGGGUAGAACAAAUCUCCCCAAUGUGGGCAAGACGUUGGACUCCAUGCCAGCUCACAUGGUUUAUGUCGGUUAGAAGAAACUCUCAAAGUCCUACAAUCCUUAAGUUUCAAAAGAAGUCCCCUAUUCUCCUUAAGAUGAAUGUAUAUGUGUUUGAAAGUUAUUGUUUUAAGAUUUCCCAAGUUACCAAAGCCCAAGUCUUUAAGUCCCAAAGUUCUCAAGUCUUAAAAGAAGAGAUGAAUAGAAAAGAUUUUAUAAAACUAAGUGUAAAGACUCACAAACUUAUUCAGAUAUUGAAUUACUUGAUAUUUCAGUUGCAAAGUUAUAGUUCUUAGCUUUCAGACACAAAGGUGAGCUUUUUUUCACUUAGCCUAUAUGAUUUGAGAACAGAAUAGAAAUGCAGAUUUUAGAACUAAAUGUUAUAGAUCACAAUAUUUGUGGUUUAUGCUUUAUUAUCUAUGAUUUAUGAUCUUUAGCUUUUAGAUUUCUCAAGCCUAUGUAAGUUAAUUCAUUUAGCAUAUAUGAUUUUAUAAACUGUGAUGAUAUUGAGAUAUUAUUUUACUUAUGCAUUCAAUCCCAUAUACUCAGUACAUCCUCAAAGUACUAAUCCACAUAUACCUCUAUGUUCUACAUUAUCUCAUAAUAUAGGUACGAGUUUUAGUAUGCAUAUUCAGAUUCAAACAGUUGCAGAUUCCAGCCUGUGAGAUGAUGAGUCCUCCUUCUUUAGGGACUUCAGUUAUACUUAUUUACAUUCUUUACUUUCUUAUUCAUAUGUAUUGAUUAGCAAUAGUUGGAGUAGCUUUCCAACUAUUUAUAGUUAGUAUUAGUAGAGGCUUCAUAGACAGUUAGUAGAGUUAAUGUAUUCAGUUUUAGUUUUCUUUAUAAAAGCAGAGUUGUAAUCAUGUGAAUUCAGUUUUGUAUUGAUCAGAUUCAGAAAAGAGUUAUCU